AAAAAAGUUAAAUCUUAAAACUAAAUGUAAAUUAAAAUGAAAACAUCUACUGCCCAUCUCUGGCUGUUUCCUUGAUAAACUUCUCUUUGGGGAAUGCCUGUGUUUGGCCUAGCACUGACACCACUGGGACACCACAUCCCGUAUCAGAGUGCCUGAGAUCAAGUCCCAGCUCCACUUCCAGUUCCAGCUUCCUGCUAAUAUGCACCCUGGGAGGCAGCAGCUCAGGUUGUUGGGUCCUUGCCACCCACAUGGACCCAGGUUGAAUUCCUGGCUCCUGGCUUCAGCUUGGCCCAGCUAUGGGAGUUGUACUUAGCCUAUUGUGUGUCCCUGUCUUUCAGAUCAAUGAAUAAAAAUAAUUUGGGGCCUGGCAUUCUAGUGUAGAAGGUUGAGCGGCUGCUUGUGAUUCCAGCGUCCCAUAUGGGUGCUGAUUUGUUUCCUGGCUGCAGCACCUCUGAUCCAGCCCCCUACUAAUGGCCUGAGAAAAUCAGUGGAAGAUGGCCCAAGUGCUUGGGCCCCAGAUACUCUCAUGAGAGACUUGGAAGAAGCUCCUGCUCCUGGCAUCAGCCUGGCCAUUGUUGAUUGUGACAGCCAUCUGGGGAGUAACCCAGUGGGUAGAUCUCUCUUUCUCUUCCUCUCUCCCUUACUUUGGACUUUCAAAUAAAUAAAUAUAUCAUAAAAGUAAAAAUUGUUUGGUUCACUGGUGUACCCCUAUCCCAAAAGGACCUUCAACCUCAGGCCAGCAGAGCUGCUGAUCUCCAUUUAUAUCCUACAUUUCUUCUAUUUACUGGUGAGAAUAUAAGCAUGGGUUCCUCUCCUUCCACUCCACAUCAGGUCCAACAGGGCUGCUGGUUUUCACAGCCUCACCCACCCUGGGAGCACUGUAAGCUCAGGGUGGGGAGGAAAGUGACACAGCUCCAGGCCAACACACCACCUUCUCCCACUCUUCUUUCCUGGGUGGUCACCAUUUCUCAAUCAAUUAGUUCUGUCUGUUUUUUGGUUGGUUGGUUUGUUUUUGGCUGCUUCCCAGAGGCCAUAAAGAUUGUUGAUUUUGUUUUGUUUCAUAGCUAUCGGACACAUUGCCAGGGAAAGCCAGACAUUCAUACCUCCUUCAGCACUGGACACAGCCUAGGAUAUGGCUGGGAUCAGGACCUCCCCUCCCAUCUCGAGUCCCAAGAGUGUUAAGUCCUCAAAAGCCGAUUCAAAGUCACGUCCACCCUCCCUGCGCAGCAAGCGGAACUGAGAAAAGCAGCUCAGCUGGGAAGAGUCCCUUCAGCUUCCGUGUCGGGCGUUCCCAGUGAAGAAGUCUGGAGAGAAGUAGCCCACCUGGGCUGCUCCCCCGGUGACUGACACCUCAUGGCCCCUGGCUGCACGGGCUACACAUAGACCAGCUGGCACCCUCGGUCGGAUCCACCAGAUCGGAGUUUUACAAUCUGAGUUCUCAGACUGUGAAGCCUCUGCUCCUGAAGGCUUGUGGCAUCUAAAGGGGAAGCCACUGUCAUCACAGCACCUUCGGAAAGUGAAUUCACAGAAGGCGAGCUCUGGUGCCUGUUUCCAGGGCAGGCGAGCGUGUCCCAGGCCUUGGUACUCCCUUCGCUGGCCUCCUUCCACAGGCUUUCUUUAUCUGUGGGGUCAAAAUUUGAGGUGUCCCAUGGGGUGGCUGCUGGUGGGCACGUAGGGGGCUGGCUGCUUCCAGAUGUCGCUGGAGAAGCCUAUGGUGUGAAGAAGGGGUGGGCCUUCAAGUCAUUGGCCUGUCCCUCCCCCAGGCAGAUUAGAGCAGCUCAGCUUGGUGAUAAGGUUGACCUGGCCUUGGGCUCAGCUUGACCUGGGCAGGAAUGUGGAAGUGUUCUCCCAGUUGACCACCUUCAGCUGGGUUUCUGUGAGUGUGGGCACCAGCCCGACCGGCAUCUCAAAGAGAAUCACGCUGAUGCUCCACAAGGGUGUACCUUUGCAGAGGAGUGAUGUAACGUGGCAACCCAACCAGGGGGUGCACCAGACACCACUGGUGCCUGCUGUUCCAGGGUCUUCAGCCUGUCCUCACACCGACAGUUAGACACAUUGUCCCAGAGGUCGCUGGGCUCCAUGCUGUCCUGUCAGAUGUGGUUUCCUUUCUGGUAGUAUUAGGAAUUGUGAGUUCCACCUGCACCCCAUGAAGAGGCCGAAAUCUGUCCCUUUGAUGUGACCA
Molecule: long non-coding RNA, 2182 nt
Filed under: Oryctolagus cuniculus (rabbit)
Lineage: Eukaryota; Metazoa; Chordata; Mammalia; Lagomorpha; Leporidae
Description: lncRNA (ENSOCUG00000034233.1)
Source: RNAcentral